GUAAAAACACCACGUUAAAAUGGUAGCUAGUUUCUUGAAUUUUUUCUAUUUUAUAGUUAUUAGUUGUAUGACUUUAAUUCUAAAACCUAUUGAUGGCGAUUUUCUUAAAAUAACAGAAAGAAAAGAAUUGAGGAAUAAACAUAUGAAAGGAAAUCUUGUUAAAUCUAUGACGACAGAGACCAGUAUAGAGUGCUUUAGACAAUGCAAUAAACUUACACAAUGUUCAUCAAUGUCUUACAACCAACAAAAUAAGAUCUGUUAUAUGUACUCUAGGUUAAACACAUAUUCAGAUGGAACCGUGGAAAAGGGGAGGAUGUACUAUUUGAAAGAUGUUAAAAACUGUCCGACAGAAGGAGGAUAUACGUAUAAAUCGAGUCCCAUGCUGUGCAUCAAGUUUUAUGAUGUUGAGUUAACGUACCAGGAAACUGUUUCUAGAUGUCAAUCAGAAAAUGCAUCACUGGUCAGGAUAGAUAGUCAUGAAGUACAAAACGUUUUGUAUUCAUAUUUAGCAUAUGAUGAACAUUUUACAGCCAGUAAAGUCUAUAUUCAAGGCAACAGAAUUCAGAAUACACCAGAAUGGGAAUUCGAUGAUGGAACCCUCAUAUCAUACAUGCCAUGGAAUCCGAACCAACCAGAAGCGUAUGAUCAAAUGUACUUAUGUUUCAAUGCUCAAAAUCAGGGCAUGUGGCAUGAUUGCAUUGGGACACAAUUAUUUAGAUUUGUUUGUGAAAUAUAUUUGUUCUAGUUUGAAUCUUAAAGGAGUUAUCAUUGUUACUGACGUUUCAAUAACACUUUCCGCAAAGUUAGUAUUUAAUCAAAUAUUUUUUUUGUUAACAAAAUAAUACUAUCAAUCAACUUUAUUUAACAAUUUGUAAUAUAUAGAACUGAUAAUAAAAACAUUUUCAAUAUACAUGUAUUACCAAUAGAUCAUACCAAGUAAACACGUUGCAAUAGAAGCCAUAGAAAUAAAACAGUGAAUUGUUA
Mytilus californianus (California mussel) is the source of this 984-nucleotide long non-coding RNA. RefSeq lists it as uncharacterized. Lineage: Eukaryota; Metazoa; Mollusca; Bivalvia; Mytilida; Mytilidae. The transcript has 3 exons. The record is from RefSeq and is a predicted model, not a curated record.